AUGGCCACAUGCUGGGUCUUUCCUAUCUAACCGUAAGUCUCCACACAGGUCCUCAUUGACCACAGCCUGCUUCUUCUGUGGAGCAUUGCCCUUGUUUGUCAAGACCGGUCCAAGUGCCUAUUGUCUGCUGCUUGCUUGCAGUGCUGCCCCAGCUGAUGUUGUCUCCAAACUUACUGUUUCGACCAGGUCGGUUAGAGGUAACAAUGGCCCAGGACGAAUCCUCACCCAAUGCAUACAGCUUGCAGGAAGAACCCUUUUCUCUAUGUAAGAGCCUUGCUGGUGAACCCAAGACCAUGGAAAGGCCAGGUAGCUCCUCACCUGUAGGAGCCCUUUCCCUUGCUGUCCUGCACAUGAUGUCACCGUCAUUUCUACCUCUAUGGCUGGCAAGACCGAGCCCAGCCCAGGCUGAUGCCAACCCCGACUUGUGACCGAGCCGGAGUUGCGGUUUUUGGAGCGGCUGGUUCCACUCUGUCCUUCCGUGAGCCAGUCACCAGAGGGGGACAAAGCCCCACGCACGGCAAGUGCGGAGUUACACUCCGCCCCCCCCUCCCCGAAAGCUCCUUCCAAAGGCGUGCCAGGCUGCGUUUGGGGGUCGCAGGUCCCCAGCUGCACCCCUGGGUGCCCCAAGCCGAGGGUGAGGCCGGUGACAGGGCUGGCUGU
Aquila chrysaetos chrysaetos is the source of this 660-nucleotide long non-coding RNA. RefSeq lists it as uncharacterized. The transcript has 3 exons. NCBI's taxonomy places the organism in Eukaryota, Metazoa, Chordata, Aves, Accipitriformes, Accipitridae. The record is from RefSeq and is a predicted model, not a curated record.